UAGGGAAUCUUCCACAAUGGGCGAAAGCCUGAUGGAGCAACGCCGCGUGUGUGAUGAAGGGUUUCGGCUCGUAAAACACUGUUGUAAGAGAAGAAUGACAUUGAGAGUAACUGUUCAAUGUGUGACGGUNUCUUACCAGAAAGGAACGGCUAAAUACGUGCCA
RNAcentral lists this ribosomal RNA (163 nucleotides) under uncultured bacterium. RNAcentral describes it as "partial 16S rRNA". It matches the Rfam family "Bacterial small subunit ribosomal RNA", at positions 355 to 510 of the family's 1533-position model. The record is from RNAcentral.